UUGCCCAUCGGGGCCUCGGAUACCUGCUCGCUUUUU
RNAcentral lists this non-coding RNA (36 nucleotides) under Sorex araneus (European shrew). Its description in RNAcentral is "XIST RNA A repeat". It matches the Rfam family "XIST RNA A repeat". The record is from Rfam by way of RNAcentral. Lineage: Eukaryota; Metazoa; Chordata; Mammalia; Eulipotyphla; Soricidae.